UGAAGACCAAAACCCCAACGUAGAAAGAUGGGGAGAGUGAAAUCAGAAACAUCCAAGAAUGGACCUUGCUUUCAGAAGAAAUAACAGUUUGCAGUUAGCAUUAUAUGCUUUGGGUAAUUAAUUUCAUAAGUCAAGGUGUUAAGCUAGCAUUCCCAAACUGAAUCCUGAGGAAUUCUUGGAAUAUUAUAUAAGGAAAGAAGAAUCCUAUGGUCAAAAUACCUGAGAAACCUUAAACUGAGCAGAAUAAAAUCUUCUCCCUAAAUGAGAGAAAAUAAGGAAGAAUUGAGAAUAAGCCCAAAGGGAUAUACAAAACCAACAAAUUCCUGUUUUCCUGUUGGUGGAAGUGUUUUUAACAAAACUAGUUUCGAUGGUCUGAAAACAAGAGAGAAGGCUCUGAGCAUGCUGCUUCGCCAUGAAUCCUAGGACCCAAGAAUAUCUGGAAUACAAGACAGAGAACUGGAGCUCAGCAGAUUAACUGGCAUUUGCACAAUGGUCUUUAAGUUGCUAAUUCUUGGUGAAGGGAAAGAAGACUUAAAAUCGGCUAAUUUGGGGCUGUUGUUGGUUAACGCCAACAUAUUUGUGUCAGGAGUCAGGAAAGGAUUAACUUUCCACUUGAUCUGUGGAUGUGCCUGAGGGGCAGCGAAGUUUUGAAGGAAACAGACCAUUGGAGGAUUUGUGUUUCGCUCCAUCAGUUUGGACCUAAGAAUCUAAGAAGACGCUUGUAGCACCGUCUUUCCUCUUAGCAGAUUUUUUGCUCUGAAUCAUCGCAACAUGUAAAGCCCUGACACCUAGGAUAUCCUGAGGGGGAAAG
Molecule: long non-coding RNA, 811 nt
Organism: Prionailurus viverrinus (fishing cat)
Lineage: Eukaryota; Metazoa; Chordata; Mammalia; Carnivora; Felidae
Exons: 4
Source: RefSeq, a predicted model, not a curated record